Molecule: ribosomal RNA, 253 nt
Filed under: uncultured bacterium
Lineage: Bacteria
Description: partial 16S ribosomal RNA
Rfam family: Bacterial small subunit ribosomal RNA
Source: RNAcentral
UACGCAGGUGGCAAGCGUUAUCCGGAAUUAUUGGGCGUAAAGCGCGCGCAGGUGGUUUCUUAAGUCUGAUGUGAAAGCCCACGGCUCAACCGUGGAGGGUCAUUGGAGACUGGGAGACUUGAGUGCAGAAGAGGAAAGUGGAAUUCCAUGUGUAGCGGUGAAAUGCGUAGAGAUAUGGAGGAACACCAGUGGCGAAGGCGGCAUCCUGGACCAACACUGACACUGAGGAGCGAAAGCCAGGGGAGCAAACGGG